RNAcentral lists this unclassified non-coding RNA (364 nucleotides) under Hevea brasiliensis (rubber tree). The record is from RNAcentral. Lineage: Eukaryota; Viridiplantae; Streptophyta; Magnoliopsida; Malpighiales; Euphorbiaceae.
UCUAGGUUUUGGGCAUAAAUAACUAUAAAAAAGGCAUACAAUAUAAUAUAAAACUAUUAGAUAACAAAUCACAUUAUAACAUUGCUCUACCCGGACAUUGAAAGUGUGAUUCUUUAUGGCCUUUCACAAAGUCGUGCAAAUCUAUGCAUUUGAUGUAAUUUGCUUUUCUUAAAAAUAAAAAAUUUUGCAUUGUAGUCCUGUUUCUGUAGCAUGCUACCGGAACUGUGAUUGUGGCCACAAGAAGUCAAUAAUGAUUUAAAACCAUGGGGGGACAAGAUGAGAGCUUCUGAAAGGUUAAGUAUUGUGCAGUGGUGGACCACAAAAGGUUACUCAAUUUCUGUAAAUCACGCUCCUUGGUUGCUAG